UAAUACGAAUCGUCCUAACGUUGUUCGGAUUCACUGGGUUUAAAGGGUGCGUAGGCGGUGCGUUAAGUCGGUGGUGAAAUACUUUGGCUCAACCAGAGAAUUGCCGCUGAAACUGGCGUGCUCGAGGGAGGUAGAGGUGCAUGGAACUUCCGGUGGAGCGGUGAAAUGCGUUGAUAUCGGAAGGAACACCUGUGGCGAAAGCGGUGCACUGGACCUCUUCUGACGCUGAGGCACGAAAGCCAGGGGAGCGAACGGGAUUAGAUACCCCGGUAGUCCUGGCCAUAAACGAUGGGUACUAGAGAGUAGAUGCUCCGAUGUGUUUACUCUCGAAGCAAAAGUGAUAAGUACCCCACCUGGGGAGUAUGGUCGCAAGGCUG
Molecule: ribosomal RNA, 377 nt
Filed under: uncultured bacterium
Lineage: Bacteria
Description: bacterial SSU rRNA
Rfam family: Bacterial small subunit ribosomal RNA
Source: RNAcentral